Panicum hallii is the source of this 3060-nucleotide RNA transcript. It is a transcript of the gene named IAA-amino acid hydrolase ILR1-like 9, with no coding region annotated. The record is from RefSeq and is a predicted model, not a curated record. NCBI's taxonomy places the organism in Eukaryota, Viridiplantae, Streptophyta, Magnoliopsida, Poales, Poaceae. The transcript is spliced from 6 exons.
AUCGGGAGUUGGAUCGGUCAUGCCUCUCGUAUUGCUUUCCAACUGAUUUCUUCGCACAAAGAUAAAAUGUUUCUUAUCCUUUCAUCUAGUGUACUUAGCUUCAUUUUAUUAGUUCAUUAUAAUUUUUUUUAGAUGAAGGACAAACCGGAUUAGAUCAUUACAAAUUUUCCUAGUUUUUGCACAGUUCUAUUUGGUUGCUACUUGACAUUUGUUUUUUAAUUUCAGUAUCUCUGAACUCUGAUCCCUCUUUCUGUAAUUCUGUCUCAUGACUAAGUAAUGGCUCAACGACUUCCGUAAGCAAUAUUAAUGCCACCUAUUUUGGUACGGGUGUAACACUGUGAGGUUGAUGUGAUUGUAUUCACUUAUCAAAGCAUGUGGAGGUGCCAACUAUCAUUAUUAUGUGAACGAUGCAGCAAGUGGCAACCGGUAAAAGUUCAGUAGCAAUCAAAAGCACAUACUUCUAGAGCUAUACAAAGCACAUUAUUAGAAUUCUGAGUGCAGGAAGAGUCCAAGUCAUGACAGUGAAGGAGCGUUAGUUAGGAGUAGCUAUCACACACGAACCAAUGACCAACCUAACAUGAACGCUGCGGAUUCCUAUGAGGAGAAGUUGCCCACUAACAGCCUUGCCCCAGCCCUUUGGGGUUGAGAGUAGUAGCCGUGCACUUGUUCAUCUUCUCCUCAGAUGAGCAGUCACAGAUCCAAUGGACGAGACCGUAGCGCACUAGUUCUUCACGUUACUAGUCCAAUAACGAUUUAGUUUCCUCCUUGAUGUGGCCUCACCAAAAGGCUUGGUUUUUAGCUAGGGUUUGAGCAGAAUGGAAAUUAGCUACGGCUGUUCAUAGACGCAGCGCAGGGAAGUUGUCCGAUGAUGCCAGCAAUGACACCGGCUAUUGUUUGUCCAUUUCAUCCAUCUCUACUCAUGCCCAAAUUCAGGCGCCAUCUAGCGCUAUAGGAAAGGGCGCAUACUAAAGAUGGUACGCUGAUGGGGUGGCGUGACGAUUUCGAUAAAAUUUCAUCACCAUACAAAAAUUUCAACUUUGAUUUAAAUUCAUGGGCAGUUGGCUCGUCCCCCGACCAAGAGAAAACCAUCCAUAACCCUAAUUGCAAAAGUUCACAUGAUGGCCCAAAUUUAUCGAUUUCGACUGAACUUGCGUGCUGCUGACGGGCUCAAGUUCAAAGAGGAGGGGGAAAUAAAAGAAUCUGAGAAACCCUGCUUUAUCGGUAACCUCCACUAGAACUUUGCGCGCUAAAGCCGAGCGCGAUCGACCGAUCAAGCUGUCGUUUUUAGUCUCGGCCGUUUCGGCUUCACCACUCGACGCCGUCUCCGAGUGAUCUCCUUCCUUCCGCCAUGGCCGCCGCCCGCGCCUCCUCUAGUUGCCUCCUCCUGCCACUACUGCUCUGCUCGCACCUGACGAUCGCCCUCGCCUCGCCGGCGGAGGCGCGCCUCCCGGGGGGUCAGCUCCUGGCCGAGGCGCGCGCGCCGGGGUUCGCCGCGUGGCUGCGCGGCGUGCGGCGGAGCAUCCACCGGCGCCCCGAGCUGGCCUUCCAGGAGCACCGCACCAGCGAGCUCGUGCGCGCCGAGCUCGACGCGAUCGGCGUGCCGUACAGGUGGCCCGUGGCCACCACCGGCGUCGUGGCGACCAUCGUUGGCGGUGGGGCAGGCGGCGGCGCCGGGCCCGUCGUCGCGCUCCGGGCCGACAUGGACGCGCUCCCCGUGCAGGAAUUAGUCGAUUGGGAAUACAAGAGCCAGGAAAGUGGGAAAAUGCAUGCUUGUGGACAUGAUGCACACACAGCAAUGCUUCUGGGGGCUGCUAAGAUACUUCAAGAUCACAAGAGUGAUUUGAAGGGCACUGUAAAGCUUGUUUUCCAGCCAGCAGAGGAGGGUCAGGGUGGUGCAUAUUAUGUCCUGCAAGAAGGUCUUCUUGAUGACGUGUCAGCCAUCUUUGGCUUGCAUGUUGACCCAGUCCUUCCAGUAGGCGUCGUUGCAUCAAGGCCAGGACCCUUUGCUGCAACAGCAUGUCGAUUCCAAGCAACUGUUACUGGUAAAGGUGGGCAUGCUGCACUACCCCACCAAGCCUUUGAUCCAACUGUAGCUGCAUCCACUGCCAUCCUCAGCCUUCAACAAAUUGUCUCCCGGGAAAUAGAUCCUCUCCAAGGCGCGGUUGUAUCGGUCACUUUCGUGAAAGGAGGAGAUGCUUAUAAUGUUAUUCCGGAGUCAGUGACCUUUGGUGGCACCUUGAGGAGCAUGACAAAUGAAGGUUUAUCAUAUCUCAUGAAGCGAGUUAUAGAGAUUGUAGAAGGACAGUCAGCGUUACAUCGCUGCACCGCGACUGUGGACUUCAUGGAGGAGAAAAUGAGAACAUAUCCGGCUGUGAUCAACGAUGAAGGGAUAUACGCCCAUGCCAAGGCAGUGGCUCAGAGCUUGCUCGGGGAAGAGAACGUCAAGGUCGCGCCACAGCUGAUGGGAGCGGAGGAUUUUGGGUUCUACGCGCAGAGAAUGGCUGGCGCCUUCUUCACCAUUGGAGUCGGCAACAAGAGCACCAUGGUGACCGUCCAUUCCACCCACUCCCCCCACUUUGUGAUUGAUGAGGACGUGCUUCCCAUAGGAGCUUCGUUCCAUGCUGCCGUGGCAAUUGAAUACUUGAAGAAACAUGCAUCGGCCUGAAAAAAAUGAAUGCGAAAAACAGGCUUGUUUGGAUACUUCGGGCAUGCUGCAGCUAUGCUUUUCGUGGAGGUUCUUCAAGACAGGCAGUUGGUCUUCAGAUGCUCAGGAGUCAGGACCUGCAUGUUACUCUCAUUGAUGGAAAGAAAAUGAUGUAAUAGAGAAACGAAAUCUUCAAGAAAUCCUACCCGUAUCUUUUCUUUUCUCGAAUAGAUAAAGGAAAGCUGCGCAUAUUUGUAUUAAGAAGAAGAAUACGGUGCGAUUACAAAGUCUCGAGUCCUGAGCUAUUACAUCACAGGAUCAACCCAAGCGAUUACAUGACAGAGAUGUAUCCUCUGGUUCUUUUCCCAGAUAAUACUGGUUAUUACUGAACAAACUCAUCAGCUUGCCUUCGUGCA